CCUACGGGAGGCAGCAGUGAGGAAUAUUGGUCAAUGGGCGGAAGCCUGAACCAGCCAAGUAGCGUGCGGGAUGAAGGCCCUACGGGUCGUCACCCGCUUUUGCACGGGGAUAACACCCUCCACUUGUGGAGGUCUGCAGGUACCGUGCGAAUAAGGGCCGGCUAAUUCCGUGGCAGCAGCCGCGGUAAUACGGAAGGCCCGAGCGUUAUCCGGAUUCAUUGGGCUUAAAGGGAGCGUAGGCGGGCGUUCAAGUCAGCGGUAAAACCGCGCGGCUCAACCGCGCCCCGCAGUUGAAACUGGACGCCUUGAGUUCACAACAGGCAGGCGGAAUUCGUGGUGUAGCGGUGAAAUGCAUAGAUAUCACGAGGAACCCCGAUUGCGAAGGCAGCCUGCCGGGGUGCGACUGACGCUGAGGCUCGAAGGUGCGGGUAUCAAACAGGAUUAGAUACCCGAGUAGUC
This 459-nucleotide ribosomal RNA is filed under the name uncultured bacterium. RNAcentral describes it as "partial 16S ribosomal RNA". It matches the Rfam family "Bacterial small subunit ribosomal RNA", at positions 338 to 795 of the family's 1533-position model. The record is from RNAcentral.